RNAcentral lists this ribosomal RNA (492 nucleotides) under uncultured bacterium. RNAcentral describes it as "partial 16S ribosomal RNA". It matches the Rfam family "Bacterial small subunit ribosomal RNA", at positions 29 to 507 of the family's 1533-position model. The record is from RNAcentral.
AGUGAACGCUGGCGGUAGGCCUAACACAUGCAAGUCGAACGGCAGCACAGUAAGAGCUUGCUCUUACGGGUGGCGAGUGGCGGACGGGUGAGGAAUACAUCGGCAUCUACUUUUUCGUGGGGGAUAACGUAGGGAAACUUACGCUAAUACCGCAUACGACCUACGGGUGAAAGCAGGGGAUCUUCGGACCUUGCGCGAUUGAAUGAGCCGAUGUCGGAUUAGCUAGUUGGCGGGGUAAAGGCACACCAAGGCGACGAUCCGUAGCUGGUCUGAGAGGAUGAUCAGCCACACUGGAACUGAGACACGGUCCAGACCCCUACGGGAGGCAGCAGUGGGGAAUAUUGGACAAUGGGCGCAAGCCUGAUCCAGCCAUACCGCGUGGGUGAAGAAGGCCUUCGGGUUGUAAAGCUCUUUUGUUGGGAAAGAAAAGCAGCAGGUUAAUACCCCGCUGUUCUGACGGUACCCAAAGAAUAAGCACCGGCUAACUUCGUG